UUUAGCUCUGAUUGUCCAAACGCAAUUCUUGUGAAAAAUUCAUUCAAGAAUUGUGUCGUGGACAUCGCGGCUCGA
Lutzomyia longipalpis is the source of this 75-nucleotide non-coding RNA. NCBI's taxonomy places the organism in Eukaryota, Metazoa, Arthropoda, Insecta, Diptera, Psychodidae. The record is from Rfam.